Molecule: long non-coding RNA, 8409 nt
Organism: Salvelinus fontinalis (brook trout)
Lineage: Eukaryota; Metazoa; Chordata; Actinopteri; Salmoniformes; Salmonidae
Exons: 4
Source: RefSeq, a predicted model, not a curated record
ACACGACCCCCCCAUCCUGGGGAAAAUAUGAUUUGUCCCCCCCAAUAUAUCACUGUAAACAUAACUAUGUAAUUUCAAUAAUAUUAAUAAUACGCAAUGAAAGCACUUGUACUGAUUAUAGACACUUAAUAGCGCGUUUUUAAAUUUCACAAGAUUGCGACCCCCCCGCCCUUUGCCUCACAAUGGUUUGAUCCACUGCCAGUUCUUUAGCUGGCAAGGUAAUAGAGGGCUCGUAUCUACUGUCCGAAAGGCACUCAAUGUACGUAACUGACGUGAGGUAAUUCAGUCAAUCGCGGCUUAGCAAUGUAUAUAUUUUUUUCAUGUUGCAGGGUUCACACACUAGCUGAAUUUGCAGAGCUAGCGCGCAAACUAAAGCAAACAUUAACUAUCAAGCUAGCUAGUACCUAUUCCAUUUAUGUGGCGUCGUCAAAGAUGGAAUAUUUGCUAUCGUCAGUUUAUUCCAAGAUUAGCAUGCAGCUGUAGUGCUUCAAAGUCCCUGUGAUAAGGUUAGCGAUAAACUGAAGUCCAAACUGAACAAAACUACACUCUCUUAUACCAUUGUCUUAAAUAUAUUUAAUGGUCUCGUUGCAAAAGCUAAAUUGUCGCUAGUGAAUUUUUUAUUUUUUUCACCUUUAACCAGGUAGCAAAGAUUAUAGCAAACACCACAGAAAUGGAAUUGGUGCUCGCUAGCUUUGCAAAUUCAGCUAUUGUUGGAAGCCAGCCAAUAUGAAACAAACUAUGUUAAAAUUUCAAAACGUUGCAGCAUGUGUUGUGUAAAUGUGUGUGUGCAGCUAGACCGUUCAGCCAGCCAGCCAGGUAGAAAAAUGUCAGAAAAAAGUAAAAAGACGGACAUCAGAGUAUUUUUCAGUACACCAAAACGCAAAGUAAGAACUCUAGUAGCCUAAAAUCUCAAAGACCAGUUGAUAAAAUGUUCAUAAGAAAGAAGUGAAAUGCUAAUGGAAAUAUUUCACAAUGAUGUCAUUAGGCAGAGCAGGCAACAGAUGGCACACAGACUGCAGAGCUGGGGACAGAUAUGCAGGGACAGACUGGCAGAGACAGGGAGUCUCAGGAGACAGACUGUGAGUCAGUGAGGGUGGUGAAAGGGAAAGAGCCAAGGAGAGAGACUUGAGGACAGUGUCACAGCCACGGCAGGACCAGGUGUCACCCUUGUUGCCAGCAGCACCAGUAUAGGGGACAGUGGCACAGCAUCGUCCAGUUACCUCAGUGAUGACACAAAACCAUAUCAGCCACACCCACAAUUUAUAGAACCGCAAACUCUUGCAAACGUUUCAAGAGAGAGGAACACUGCACUGAUAAGGAACAUUGCUAUAACUAUUAUUAUUAGUAGUAUUAUAAUGAUUUAAACAAGUUGGGACAACCCUUCAGUUAACUACUGUACCUAACAAUUAUCCAGUAGUAGUGAUUAUGGUCCCUCAAUAUACAUUUAACAUAUUACAACAUAGUCUAUGUGUUACAGCACUACUUUUGGUGUCCCCCUCAGGAAUUGCUCCUGAGAAAAUUUCAUGUAAUUGUCCCCUCCAAGGUUGAUAUCAGAUUUUCGCCCCUGGCUAGACCGCUGUCUAACACGUCAAGACAUCUCUAUUACACCAACUGAUCACUCCUCAAAACUCUAUUAAAUACAGUGCCUUCAGAAAGUAUUCAUACCCCUUGACUUAUUCCACAUUUUGUUGUGUUACAGCAUGAAUACAAAAUGUAUUAAAUAGUUUUUUCUCGCGCAUCUACACACAAUACAAUACCCCAUAAUAAACAUGCUAUUAGAAAUGUUUGCAAAUGUAUUAAUAAUCAAAUACAGAAGUCUUCACACCCCUGAGUAUAUACUUUGUAGAAGCGCCUUUGGCAGCGAUUACAGCUGUGAGUCUUUCUGGGUAAGUCCCUAAGAGCUUUCCACACCUGGAUUGUGCAACAUUUGCCCAUUAUUCUGUUCAAAAUACUCAAAUUGGUUGUUGAUCAUUGCUAGAUAACCAUUUUCAGGUCUUGCCAUAGAUUUUCAAGUAGAUUUAAGUCAAAACUAGCUCGGCCACUCAUUAACAUUCAGUCUUCUUUGGUCUUGUGUUUUAGGUUAUUGUCCUGUUGAAAGAUGAACUCAUCUCCCAGUGUCUGGUGGAAAGCAGACUGAACCAGGUUCUCCCAUAGCUCCAUUCAGUCUCCUUUUUAUCCUGAAAAACUCCCCAGUCCUUAAUGAUUACCAGCAUACCCAUAACAUGAUGCAGUCACCACUAUGCUUGAAAAUCUGGAGAGUGGUACUCAGUAAUGUGUUGUAUUUGCCCCAAACACAACGCUUUGUAUUCAGGACAAAGAGUGAAUUGCUUUUCCUAAUUUCUUGCAGUAUUACUUUAGUGCCUUGUCGCAAACAGGAUGUACAGGCUUAUCUUCUUUUCACUCUGUCAAUUAGGUUAGUAUUGUGGAGUAACUACAAUGUUGAUCCAUCCUCAGUUCUAUCACAGCCAUUAAACUAACUGUUUCAAAGUCCCAAUGGCCUCAUGCUGAAUUCCCUGAGCGGUUUCCUUACUCUCCGGCAACUGAGUAAGGAAGGACGCCUGUAUCUUUGUAGUGACUGGGUGUAUUGAUACACCAUCCAAAGUGUAAUUAAUAUACUUCACCAUGCUCAAAGGGAUAUUCAAUGUCUGUUGUUUUUUAGUUUUUUAUCCAUCUAUCAACAGGUGCCAUUCUUUGCCAGGCAUUGGAAAACCUCCCUGGUCUUUGUCGUUGAAUCUGUGUUUGAAAAUCACUUCACGACUGAGGGACCUUACAGAUAAUUGUAUGUGUGGGUUACAGAGAUGAGGCAGUCAUUAAAAAAUCAUGUUAAACAAUAUUAUUGUACACAGAGCGAGUCAAUGCAACUUAUGACUUGUUAAGUAAAUGUUUUCUCCUGAACUUAUUUAGGCUUGCCAUAACAAAGGGGUUUAUUACUUGAGAUAUUUCAGCUUUUCAUUUUUGUCCGGGGGGAGGCUGCUCUAGCGACUCCUUGUGGCGGGCUGGGCGCCUGCAGGAUGACCUCGGUUGUCAGUUGAACAGUGUUUCCUACAACACAUUGGUGCAGCUGGCUUCCGGGUUAAGAGGGUGGGAGUGAAUACUUUACUGUAGAAUCAUCCACACAGUGUUAAUGUGUGGAGAGUUUGGGGCUCAUUACCCAGCAACCACAUCCACAAGCUGUGUAAGAAUAAAAUCACUAAGGAAAGUAGGUUGGAACAAUUUCAAAUUGAUUAAUUAAAUAACUGUCAACAUAUCCAUUACCUACAAGAACAUGACGUGGUGCUACUUAGUUGCUGAAAGGACUAUGUUACGAUGCAUGGUGCAGCAGAGCAGACAGACAGGCAGUGUGACCAGGUAGGCAGCCAGGCACUAACAUUACUGGGUGCUCCUGUCCCGUUGCUGCCUGGCAGGUACUAACAUUACUGGGUGCUCCUGUCCCGUUGCUGCCUGGCAGGCACUAACAUUACUGGGUGCACCUGUCCCGUUGUUGCCUGGCAGGCACUAACAUUACUGGGUGCUACUCCCGUCCCAUCCCGUUGCUACUCCCGUCCCAUCCCGUUGCGUCUCACCAGCAGGGCUGACCAGAGGGCUGAGCCUUCUGCUGCAUUAUUGAAGAUGAGUGUUGGGUUCACUGAGGCAUGUCUGCAUCCUGAAUCAUUUACAUCCUGCUAAUGUCAGCUCUCAUCUACCACCAACGCCUUACUGCCUGCCUUCUACAGGUUGGGACCCCAUUCCUUUUCCCAUGGCCUCUACAGCCUUCUCUGCUCUGUGGAUCUGGCUGAUGUUAUGGGAGGGCAUGGUUUUUUACUAAAUAUAUUUUUGUCCUGAAUACAAAACGCUAUGCCCCACCCGCACGCCUGUUGUUGUACCAAAAAAACAUCUGCACUAACAUUACAGCACAGCUGGCUGUAAAUAUUGUAAGAUACGGUAGAUCAUUAUAGGAUCCAAUUAAUAUCCGUGUUGAGUAUCAGCUUUUAUGAGCUUUCCUUUGCCAGAUGUGUACAUGUUCAUAUCUAGCAAUAAUACAAUGUGUUUUUAAAUGCAUCUUUUGAAUACUCUGUAGUGUCACUGCUCUAGCUACAUUAAACAACAUGCAAAUAAGCCAAAUCUCAAGUGAAAACCAAAAUUCUCUCUUCAAAGACAUCGGCUAAGAAUGUUUUUCCCCCUCCACUUCACCCCGUUGUUUACGCAGUCUGACCAGCGAAGUCCAGCGAACAGGAGACCUUCAACUUUCAUAGCACCACAAUAUUUACAAUUGGAAGAUGACGGCCUUAACAGAAUCUAGCCUGGCAUUACAAUGUUAAAUCAGUCAGUCAUGAAAUGAAAAACAGGAGGAGAGCACACAUAGAGGAGAGGAAGCCACAUCUCAUAUGCGGGGGAUGGAAAGUCCAACCCACUUCCUCUAAAUGAGGAUGACUAUGUUAAAUAACGACCUCUUAUUGUUAAAACCAAGGUUGUUACAGGGCACAAGAGGUACAAAGGAUCCUACCUCCACCACUCUGCAAACUGGAAUCAGUGUGUGCUCGCGCGCGCACGCCAAGAACUGUUGAAAGAUAUUAAGUCCCUUGAGAGAUGAGCACAGACUUCUUUAUUAGGUCAUAUCAACCUCCACUCAUCUCUGAGCUAGAAAAACAGCACUACUGACCAUUGGACUUCUAGGCUCAAUCCCGAUAACCUCCUUUAGCCCUUCCCCUCCACUUUGCGUGAUCCAGCAUCAAGUCGGAGUGGUGUUGAAAAUUAAACAGAGAGGUAGUGCCUUUUUAGGCCUCUAGUUGGCCCUCCAUGUGAAUCGACAUAGACUUCCUAUCAAGUGGUUAUCAAAACUCCCAUAAAGCUCUAUGACCCAAGGAUCUAAUGUUGCUUCAGGAAGAUGGUUGACAAAAAUACUUGAAUGAAAGCAAAUGUAAGUAAUUAUAACUUAAUAACAAAGUGAAGAUGGCGGCCAUCUAGUACAGCGCCAUUUGCUAGCUCCGACCAAACUUUGCUUUUGUUGUUUAUUUUUACCUAAUUUAAAAAAAAUAUAUCCACUGUCAUUUCUUACAACCGAGAUUAAUUUAUAUUCUAACAUCAGAUUGGCAGUUACCUCAAUUCUGGUUUUAACUUCAACUCAUCUGUCCUGGGCUCUGUCUGUAAUUCCAACUAAAUUUUCAGGCUACCCAAGAGGAAAUACCGACGUUACAGAGGCAAGAGAGGGGGGAUCCUGGUGAGAUUAAGGCAAAGGAAGAACCGGCAACCUCUUCCCUCCAUUCUAUUGGCCAAGGUACAGUCAGUUGAUAAUAAGAUGGAUGACCUCAGAUCUGACAUGACUCUCGAAACUGCAAUAUUCUCAGCUUUUCUGAAACAUGCCUCAGACAAUAUAUGGGACUUAUUUGACUUUUUCCUGUCCUCUGCCGUAGCCUCAGGGUUGUCUGCGGUACCCCUAUUCUUUAGCUAUCCAACUCUAUGGAUUCUUCAUUCACCGUACCGACAGGACAGUGGAGUUGGGGAAAUCGAGGGGGGAGGGGUUUGCUUCGUCAACAACUGGUGUGCUGACUCGAGCGAGGUUGAAGUGUUGACUAACUGUUCACCCGUACCUUAUGGUCAAAUGCCAACCCUUUUACCUCCCGAGGGAGUUUUCAGCUGUUAUUGUGACUGUUGUAUACAUUCCACCUCAGGACAAGAAACAUAACAAGCUGGCAUUAAACGAAAUGUACGAGGCUAUAACCAAGCAGAAAAACGUACAUCCGGUGGCUGCUUUUCUGGUUGCCGGCGAUUUUAAUUCUGCUUCAUUGAAAGGUGUGAUGCCCAACUUCCAUCAACACGUCUCCCUCGCCACUAGGGGGCGAUAAAGUCCUAGACUACCGUUAAUCUACCCUCAAGCAAGCAUACAAGGCUCUCCCUGGUCCGCCAUUCGGCAAAUCAGAUCAGGUACUCCUGUUUACAAGCACACACUCAAACAGGAAUUACCCCUGACUCGCUUCGUUGAGAAAUGGUCUCCAGAAUCAGAGAUUAUGCUACAGGGCUGCUUUGCUAGCGCUAAUUGGAAUGUUUCGAGAUUCCACCAAUAACACCUCCGUCACUGGCUUCAUUAGGAAAUGCGAUGCCUCGACUAGACAAACUCAAUGCAAUUUAUGCACGCUUUGUCAUUAACAUAGUGUGAGGGCUGCCACCAACCCAGAAGAUUUGGGUCCGAGCGAGAUCACCCAUUGGUUAUGGCACACAACUCCAUCAUCUCAGACCCACUUCAAUUUGCAUACCAACAGAUCCAUAGACGACGCAAUCUCAAUUGCACUCCACACUGCCCUCACCCACCUAGAUAAGAGGGUGUGUGCUUAGUCGCCUCUUGUGCUCCCUGUUCACCCAUGACUGCGUGGCAACGCACAACUCCAACACCAUCAUCAAGUUUGCUGACGACAAGACGCUGGUAGGCCUGAUCUCCCUGUAGGCUGUGUCAUUGUCGCUGGUGGAGGUCAGAGACCUGGUAGUGUGGGGCUGGAACAACCUCCCUCAACGUUAGUAAGACCGAGGAUCGUGAACUACAGGAAACUGAGGGGCGAGCACACCCCCAUCCACAUUGACAGGGUGGCAGUAGAGCGGGUUGAGAGCUUCAAGUUCCUCAGUGUCCAAAUCACUAAGAACUUAAAAUGGUCCACAUGCACAGUCAUGAAGAAGGCGCGACAGCACCUCUUCCCACUCAGGAGGUUGAGAACGUUUGGCAUGGGCAUAUCAUGCCAAAUAGAGUCCCCCUCUACAUCACAAUGGGAUUUGAUGAGUUCUAGCUUCUGUUGCUAGGACUGUUGCUAGAACUUGCAACAUUCUGACUGGAUUACGUAAUGAACCAAAGCGUCAGUUGCAAUGCAGGUUGCUUGGCUCUAUUUUACCUUGUAGCAGUCACAAAGGGAGGAGGAUGCGGGCAGUUCUAGUUCUAUUUCACCGCAAUAACGCCCGCUCAGUCCGCGCAAAUAAAUUACCUCUGUAUUUCUCUCCAAGGAUGGUGUUUUUGAUGGUACACAUUGUUAAAUAGGAAUAAAUAAUUUAAGCUGUUUUUAGAGUGACGUUGCUAGCUACUGUCCUUACAUAGACAGAGCCUGGACUCCAACCAGGAUCUCUAGUGGCACAGCUAGCACUGCAAUGCAGUGCCUUAGACCACUGCGUCACUUGGGAGUACUAUGAAGACACCACUGAUUUGGACAAGAGGAGCAACAUUCAGAGAAAUUCACAAUUCAGGGUAACGUUAAGCAAUUAGAUAACUGGACGGAUUUAGCUAUGUACAACCAUUUGUUCACAACCAUUUUCCGUCUAACGUUAGCUAGUUGAUAGCUAUACAGUAUGUGGAAUGGAGUAAAUGGAAUGGUAUCAAACACGUGGUGUCCAUGUGGUUGAUACCAUUCAAUUGACUCCAUUCCAGCCAUCAUUAUGAGCCAUCCUCCCAUCAGCAGCCUCCAACGAUAGCUAUUUGUCUGUCAUAUUGAGGUGUCUAGCUAAAAGUUAAACCUGAUCAGAUCGAAUCCCCGAGCUGACAAGGUACAAAUGUUGUUCUGCCCCUGAACAAGGCAGUUAAACCCACUGGUCUUAGGCCGUCAUUGAAAAUAAGAAUUUGUUCUUAACUGACUUGCCUAGUUAAAUAAAGGUAAAAUAAAAUAAGAAAUGGAUAGGUGUAAACAAUUAUGGUAAUUCCAAAGGCCCUGAACUAGGUGAUGUGGACUGGAGUAUUUCAACAACUCUUCAACUUGUUAGACAAUCAUAUCUACAUACGCGGAAAGGAUGGCCAGCCACACAGGAGGGUGGUUUUUACUAAGGUCAUCUUGAGUGACCGAAGUCAUGAACGCUGGAAUAAGGUAUAACAGACUUUCGGAUCACUGAAACCCCACCUGAUCUGGUGGAAGUUGUCGAACCAGAUCAGAACGCCUUCGAGUACUACCUUCAGGCACAGACUGAGUAGGAUGUGAAGGUUUUUGACCAGGCAAAAAUUAUUAUCCGCUGAUCAUUUAUUUUCUGUCCCUGUAAGAAAUGUAUUUGUAAUAUGAACCAUAAUUGCAUGUAUUCCUGUCAUCAAUCAAGGUAGGACUGAACAUGGACAAGGUGCAGGAGAAACAGAAGGAGAGCUACCGGAGCAGAAUCAAGAAGGGGAGGAAGUGCUAUGACACCGGGGCAUAUUACUUGGCUUGGAAGAAGGACGAAAGUUAGACGAGACCUGGGAAACCUCACUGCUCUUUCGUUCCUUGCUGGGGUCACCAUCUGUUAAAGUGAAUAUAAAAAAUCUCAGGGUUACCUCUGUGGAAGCAGCUGGACGGUCUACCACUGGAAGCACUGGCCCCCGACACUUCAGUGAAGCCCAAUAUACAAAGACCAUCGAAUGUCCCGAGCCCCCCUGGAGGUAUACCGUCCACCAGAAGCAGUGAGUUCGGAUCAGUCUGAUUCUCUGUGCUCUGAGUC